AUGGCCUUGGAGUUGACCGCCCCAUGUCAAGCUACGCGAGCUCAAUCACAACCGAUCUAUGACACAGAAGAUCAUGAGCUAACAGCUCUAUAUAUAUGGAAGUCCGGGUGCCCUAGGAACGUGAAUCUGGCACCAUGCGACGACUCCACCAGCAGUAGAAGCGUGGCUGUGUCGAUCAAACUGGCGGCGGCGACCAACGGCUCCGACAAGGAGGCACCACCCCGCCUCUCGACUGACGUCGUGAUCGAAUUCGGCGACACCGUCAACAAGUGCAAGCAGCGUCUCCAGUGGUACAUCGGCGCAGAUGGCAGGGACCAAAAGUUCAUUUUUCGCGUCGAGAGGCAUCACGGCGCAUACAAGCUGACAUCGUGCUACGCCCCGGGGUGCAAACAUGAGCCGUGA
Molecule: ribosomal RNA, 402 nt
Filed under: Triticum aestivum (bread wheat)
Lineage: Eukaryota; Viridiplantae; Streptophyta; Magnoliopsida; Poales; Poaceae
Description: partial small subunit ribosomal RNA
Source: RNAcentral